Molecule: ribosomal RNA, 544 nt
Filed under: uncultured Penicillium
Lineage: Eukaryota; Fungi; Ascomycota; Eurotiomycetes; Eurotiales; Aspergillaceae
Description: eukaryotic LSU rRNA
Rfam family: 5.8S ribosomal RNA (bases 173-325)
Source: RNAcentral
GAGUGAGGGCCCUCUGGGUCCAACCUCCCACCCGUGUUUAUUUACCUUAUUGCUUCGGCGGGCCCGCCUUAACUGGCCGCCGGGGGGUUUACACCCCCGGGCCCGCGCCCGCCGAAGACACCCCGAACUCUGUCUGAAGAAUGCAGUCUGAGAACAAAUAUAAAUUAUUUAAAACUUUCAACAACGGAUCUCUUGGUUCCGGCAUCGAUGAAGAACGCAGCGAAAUGCGAUACGUAAUGUGAAUUGCAAAUUCAGUGAAUCMUCGAGUCUUUGAACGCACAUUGCGCCCCCUGGUAUUCCGGRGGGCAUGCCUGUCCGAGCGUCAUUGCUGCCCUCAAGCCCGGCUUGUGUGUUGGGYCYCGUCCUCCGAUCUCYGGRGGACGGGCCCGAAAGGCAGCGGCGGCACCGCGUCCGGUCCUCGAGCGUAUGGGGCUUUGUCACCCGCUCUGUAGGCCCGGCCGGCGCUUGCCGAUCAACCCAAAUUUUUAUCCAGGUUGACCUCGGAUCAGGUAGGGAUACCCGCUGAACUUAAGCAUAUCAAUAA